AGUUCAGAUCGUAGGCUGCAACUCGCCUACGUGAAGGAGGAAUCGCUAGUAAUCGCAGGUCAGCAUACUGCGGUGAAUACGUUCCCGGGCCUUGUACACACCGCCCGUCACACCAUGGAAGUUGGCCACGCCCGAAGCCGUUACUCCAACCCUUGUGGAGGAGGACGUCGAGGGUGGGGCUGAUGACUGGGGUGAAGUCGUAACAAGGUAUCCGUACCGGAAGGUGCGGAUGGAUCACCUCCUAA
RNAcentral lists this ribosomal RNA (245 nucleotides) under uncultured Synechococcus sp. RNAcentral's name for it is "partial 16S ribosomal RNA". It matches the Rfam family "Bacterial small subunit ribosomal RNA", at positions 1290 to 1533 of the family's 1533-position model. The record is from RNAcentral. Lineage: Bacteria; Bacillati; Cyanobacteriota; Cyanophyceae; Synechococcales; Synechococcaceae.